CCAAUCGUCCAGACCUUCUCUCGACCCAGGCAAGUCGCCUCCUUUCUUCCCCUUCCCUCAGCCCCGACCCCUCUCUGCCGCCUCGUUUCCUACCCCUUUCUCUUCUCAAUCUGAAUCCAUGGAGAUAGCCAGUAGGGAGGACGAGUAUGUGUUGGAGGGCGCUGCCGGCGGCGCCAAAAGUAGCUCAACAAGAACCACCGUCAUGCGGAGGCAUGACACUAUCGACACGGAUCCGCUUCGUCUGCGCCGGCAAGGGCCAACCGUUCCAGAUCCGACCAGGUACGAUGCAUCCUACCUUUUCCAACUGCCGAAUACUUCUCUAAAUCAUGGUGGGCACUGCCCAUGGAGGUUCAUAUGAAUCAAUUUACUUUGAGCAGUGCAGUGUCACAAUAGCAGCUCUCCCUUUUUUCCUUGCAUGUUUUAUAAUCUGCAUAUUUUGUUGUAAUGGCUGCAGUAAGGAGUAAGGCAGUAACAGAGUUGAAUCACUCAAUAUAUGCUGCCAUAGGGCAUGUAUUAGACUGUUAGUUGAUGCAGGGGAGUUGCAGCAAUAACAGGUGUUCACUUAGAUUCGAAACUCUGAAUUUUACUGAUUCCUGUCUUAGCCCUCUAAUCCCUUGAUAGAUUUGUGCCUAGCCACCUGAACUUUUUCUGGCGAGUUUACUGAUUUGGACAUCAAUUUCGAGCUUUCUUGGGAAUGUUUAGAAGUCUCAAAAUCAGCCUGGGUCACAUGCAGCAGUAAAAACGCAACAAAUAUAACAUUAUGCAGUGAGUUGUUGCUUUUUGAGCAGAAUAUCAAACUAUCAGCUUAAGUUAGCGAGAGCAAUAUAUCAGGCGUUCAAGAGCCUCAUUCACAAGGUAUAGCCGAAUACCAAUCGGUGACAAGCAGAUGUCAAGACGCAAGAUUAAAUGGUGGAUAUAAAAGUAGUUUCAACAGACUGUGCAGAGAGUUCACUUUGCAGAUGGUAAACUGUAGAUUUCCUGCUUCAUCCCCCCUCCGUAAAUUAGAGGGAAGGUUUUUAACAAAGUAGCUCUAGCUUUGAUCUACAAGACCAGGAUCGAUGCCACGCCAAACGCACAAGGCUGAAUUGAUUACACCACAACUAUGCAAAGCUGUCUUAUAUUCGACCUGGUAUGACAAUGCAUGAUGUAUUUUGAUCAGAAACUCAUAGACCAUGUAGCAUGCUUGGCUCUAGGUAUGGAUUAUCCUUUAUUUGAAACUCAUGAUGCCAGAAAUCCACAAAAAAUAAUCAGUUUUUGGAUGGAAAGCGAUACUACAGGAAGACAUCGUUCUAAUUAACUUAAUUGUAUAUGAAGCUUUGAGAAAUUUACAAUGAACAGAAGGCCUUUGCGACGCUGUAGAAUCAUUAUAAGAAUUCUACAAUGGUAUAAGACAGUUUAGCAGCUGAAGCAGAGGUUCAAGUAGACCUAGAUUCUGACGAAUGCAAUGUCACAAACAGAACCUAAAUUACUAAUCAUAUGCCAUGCCAUGUUUCAACCAAAUUGAACGUAAUCAUAUUACCAUAAUAGAGUUUUGGGCUCACAGAAGAAAUAAAAGAAAUCAUGAUGACACAUGGUAGGAAUCUGCACACCUUCCUUUGGAUCUCCUCUUUCUUGUCAUUGAUGGAUAGUGGCUUUUGCUCGCAGGGCAAGUUGCUGCUUGUUAUAAACCAGAGCAUUGAUGUCCGCUUCCAGCUGCUGGGCCAUGGGCUCCUCCAUCUGCUCCGCAAGCUCAUGAUCCGCGAUUUCCUUCUGAAGCUGCGUGAGAGAAACAGAAAUGCAACAUUCACAAUGCAGUGAUUGUUCCUGGUUCUAGAAAAUAUUGCAAGGAAUUUUUGCUACGUAUGAACCAAGAAAUGCGGCAUUUAGAUAUAUUUUGUAUGCUCCCCACCCGGGUUGAACAGCUGCAUCCACCUGUUGUUAUGGUAGUGGAAUCCCUCCAAUUAUAUCAAGAAAUAUAGUUCUUCGUUUAUCUGAUAGGGAUCCUAAUUGUAGCACCCUAGCCUGGACUUCUCAAGGGUGAACAUACUGAUGGAUGGAAACCAACCUAAUGAUUGAUGGUGUUAUCAUCAGGAGGCAGUGGACUAGCGGUGGCGUGAUUCAAAACUAUUGCUGAUUCUGCAUUUGAGGAUUUCAUGAAGCCAAGCGAUCCUCUUGUGCUCUGAGGAGCUCUGAUGUAUACAGGCAUCUGGUAUGAUCGCAUGCCUAAUUCAUACAUAGGAGUUAGUAUUGUAACUAUUAAGUAGCUCAAUAAUCUGUUUGCAAUAAAAUAAGUUGUUAUAUACGAUGGAGAAGUACUGAAUCUCUUAAAGCAUAAAGCCAUAAAAAUCAGCAUGCACUGAGGCCCAAGCACAAAGUAAAAAUGUUCUAAUUUCAAAAGAUUAAUUUAGUUUUGGUAGGGGUGCGUAGGUAUAAACAAUGAACCAUCUUUUCCAAAAAAAUAAACCCUGGACCAUUCUGCAUCCAGUAUAUUGACAUAUUAGUUGCUCUCUUGUUUCUGAACAUUUUUGAACGAGCUGAGAAGUACUCAAAACCUUAAGGCAUAAAGUCAUGAACAUCCUAGGCACAGAAUAAUCAUGCAGUGAAGAUACUUUAUUACAAACCAUGUAUGAUAUGACACCAACACCAAAUCCUUGAAGCAGUCGUCCCAUGUAGAGAAGUGAUGAGUCAUGUGGAUUAAACAUCGAUUAGCAAGCAUGAAGCUCGUAUCGUCGCGAGAAGAGAAAUGGCAGAAAAUAAGCUUGGGAAACAUGUGGGUGCAUCAUGCCAUACAUUCGUGAAGGAGAUGGCGAGCCAACCGAUGAUGUUCUGAAUCGCCACCAUCGUUAAUGACUGAAAAUUCAGUAGGCAUGUCCAUAGUAUAAAAGAUUAAAACUUUAGUGUAGUCAAGAAUUAAUUUGUUGCAGCUUGCAAGCAUAUGACAUGAACAAAAUAAUGAACCUUUUCAGAAAAAGUCUUCACCUACACAUUGUCUGCAACACCAAUUUCUCUUCUCUGAUUAUCGUAUCAAAUGCCACACGCAACUAAUUAAAUAACUCAUGAGAUUUGAGACUAAUACAAGCUCAACUCUUAAUUUUCAUUCGGAGGGAGGGAGGGGUCAAGAUUUUCUCACCCCUUUCUGUCCAAUGUGCUCGGCCAUCCGGCCGCUGGCGAUGGCCCCGACCAUGGCGCUAACUUGGACAGCGAGCCGAACACCAAGAACUGACGUGCAGGCACGAAGUUACUCAACAUCUUUAGUCCAAGAAGAAGUCGAAACAGAGCAAGCAUAGAGGCUCCAGGCACUACCUUCUCAUAGUUUUCAAUUUUUUUACUUAUGUUUUCAAUUUUUUUUAUAAAUUACUUUCAGUUCAAUCUGCUUCUCAUGAUUUCUGCAAUCUUCAAAUUCAACUUGUGUUAGAGGCUUUAGUUCUUACAACAUAUGAUACUCGCUUGAUCAUCAUGUACAUUGUAUAAACAUAAAGUGAUGCACUGAAUGCACUAUGCUCUUGUCCAUUGUUAUUGUGUUUAUUUCCUAUCGGUUAAGAUCAAUAUAUAACUCUCAAAGUUUUAACCAUGGGUGUUGGAGGAGAUAGAUCAGGCAGAACUACAACCUGAGGUUGUGCAGGUUUACGGAUACGUCUUGCCAAGGUUAUAUUAUUUUAGGCUUUGGCGAAUAAAAAAAUAUAGUAGGUAAAUAAAGCUCAGUUCGCCACUCAAAUAAUUAUGAAUACCAAUGCAGUAAAGGUAUGAUGUAUGCUUUCAAAUAACAUUAUAUAAUUCUUUGGUAACAUCACUGAAAACUAUUGAAUUGUGUUCUCUAAUUUAUUAUAGUUAGCUUUGUUUCAGAUUGGGUGUUAAUAGAAAACAUAUCCAUGCAUUGAUGGAUUCACAUUUGAAGGGAAACUGCUGAAAAUGAAAGGCGACAUAUUCGAUAGUUUUUUCUCUCAUUAUUCACAAUCUGAACUAGGUUCGGAAGACAAAAUCUGGAGCCUUACUUUGAAUGUCCAAGGAGGUGGAAGCACCAACAAUGCCCUCAACAGAGCUGCUCGAUCAAUUGGAUCUGAAUCCAAGGAUGACAUCCAACAAAAGGUACCCAACUUCCUUUAUUGCUUUAACCAUACUAGAGUAGCUGUAUAUGGUGCACUUGGCAGGGAUAUUAUCAAGGAAUUCCAAGAUGAUGGCUGCAUUUUGCAUUGAAAUUGGGAGGUGGGGCUCAAAAGAUACAGCGGUUACUGGCGGCGGCGGCGGCGAAGACUAGCCCGGGAUCUGGGACAAUGGAUGCAUUGAGCACGAGGUGAAGAUAAGCCACUCCAUCCACGGUCACUAUUUUGUUCAUUCUUUUUUUGGGGAUGAUUUCAGUACUCUAUCAAUGUGAUGUUAGAGCCAAGAUGCAUGUGUCACUUGUUUCAUCAAGUAACUUUAAAUUUUGUUCAUGA
Molecule: long non-coding RNA, 4412 nt
Organism: Triticum aestivum (bread wheat)
Lineage: Eukaryota; Viridiplantae; Streptophyta; Magnoliopsida; Poales; Poaceae
Exons: 3
Source: RefSeq, a predicted model, not a curated record